RNAcentral lists this ribosomal RNA (378 nucleotides) under Myrmeleon inconspicuus. RNAcentral describes it as "SSU rRNA". It matches the Rfam family "Eukaryotic small subunit ribosomal RNA", at positions 1038 to 1398 of the family's 1831-position model. Lineage: Eukaryota; Metazoa; Arthropoda; Insecta; Neuroptera; Myrmeleontidae. The record is from RNAcentral.
GAUGCCAGCUAGCGAUCCGCCAAAGUUCCUCCGAUGACUUGGUGGGCAGCUUCCGGGAAACCAAAGCAUUUGGGUUCCGGGGGAAGUAUGGUUGCAAAGCUGAAACUUAAAGGAAUUGACGGAAGGGCACCACCAGGAGUGGAGCCUGCGGCUUAAUUUGACUCAACACGGGAAACCUCACCAGGCCCGGACACCGGAAGGAUUGACAGAUUGAGAGCUCUUUCUUGAUUCGGUGGGUGGUGGUGCAUGGCCGUUCUUAGUUGGUGGAGCGAUUUGUCUGGUUAAUUCCGAUAACGAACGAGACUCUAGCCUACUAAAUAGACGUACUUUAUUACCGGCAUCUCAAGGCCCAUCGGCUGUAUUGUUACUGAAUGUUAU